UUUCCGUAGGUGAACCUGCGGAAGGAUCAUUAACACUAAAUCCAAAUAAACUUGGGAAUCAUUCCCUUGUUUUAAACACUUUAAACCUUUUUCCUUUUUUUGUGCUCCUCUCCUCGCACAGAGGGUGAGGGAAUACAAGGGGAAACUAACCUGUCGAGUUGGUAGAGAGAGAGGCGAGGGGAGGGGAAGAGGAAAUCUCUUUUGGGGGUUUCCUUUUUCUUUUUUUUCUCUCACUCUCUUUUCCUACUCGUUUUCUCUUUUUUUUCUUUUUUUCUUUUCUUUUUUUUUCAACCCCAAAAAACAAAAAACAACAACAAUCUUAAAACAAAAAAUGACUUGUUUCUUUCUUUUUUUGAAAAACAAAAAAAAACCAAACAAAACAAAAAAAAUAAAAUUAUAAAAACAACUCUUAACAACGGAUAUCUUGGCUCUC
This 433-nucleotide unclassified non-coding RNA is filed under the name plant metagenome. Its description in RNAcentral is "partial contains small subunit ribosomal RNA, internal transcribed spacer 1, and 5.8S ribosomal RNA". The record is from RNAcentral.